AGUUGCGAUCAUACCAGCGUUAAUGCACCGGAUCCCAUCAGAACUCUGCAGUUAAGCAUGCUUGGGCUAGAGUAAUACUAGUAUGGGUGACCUCUUGGGAAGUCCUAGUGUUGCACCCU
Picea glauca (white spruce) is the source of this 119-nucleotide non-coding RNA. NCBI's taxonomy places the organism in Eukaryota, Viridiplantae, Streptophyta, Pinopsida, Pinales, Pinaceae. The record is from Rfam.